UCAGAUCAUCUUUCCGUAAUGCAGAAUUGGAGAUGCUCCUUGCUGAUGAGAAGCUGCAAGCAAAUGAUGCAAGUGUCCAUCAUGAAAGGGAGCUCUCUGAGUCUCAUGCAGACCUGGAAAUGGCCAUUUAUGAACUGCAGCAAGAAAAGAACAGGUGUGCCCAGAAGAACCUGCAAAUUGAGGAUCUGAAGGCACAGGUGGCAGUUCUGAAGACAGGUGGAGCCUG
Long non-coding RNA from Branchiostoma belcheri (Belcher's lancelet), 226 nucleotides. RefSeq lists it as uncharacterized. The record is from RefSeq and is a predicted model, not a curated record. Lineage: Eukaryota; Metazoa; Chordata; Leptocardii; Amphioxiformes; Branchiostomatidae. The transcript is spliced from 5 exons.